UGGGCGAGCCUGAUCCAGCCAUGCCGCGUGUGUGAAGAAGGCUUUCGGGUUGUAAAGCACUUUCAGUGAGGAAGAACGCCUUCGGCUUAAUACGCCGGAGGAAAGACAUCACUCACAGAAGAAGCACCGGCUAACUCCGUGCCAGCAGCCGCGGUAAUACGGAGGGUGCGAGCGUUAAUCGGAAUUACUGGGCGUAAAGCGCGCGUAGGUGGCUUGAUAAGCCGGUUGUGAAAGCCCCGGGCUCAACCUGGGAACGGCAUCCGGAACUGUCAGGCUAGAGUGCAGGAGAGGAAGGUAGAAUUCCCGGUGUAGCGGUGAAAUGCGUAGAGAUCGGGAGGAAUACCAGUGGCGAAGGCGGCCUUCUGGACUGACACUGACACUGAGGUGCGAAAGCGUGGGUAGCAAACAGGAUUAGAUACCCUGGUAGUCCACGCCGUAAACGAUGUCGACUAGCCGUUGGGGUCCUUGAGACCUUUGUGGCGCAGUUAACGCGAUAAGUCGACCGCCUGGGGAGUACGGCCGCAAGGUUAAAACUCAAAUGAAUUGACGGGGGCCCGCACAAGCGGUGGAGCAUGUGGUUUAAUUCGAUGCAACGCGAAGAACCUUACCUACCCUUGACAUCGAGAGAACUUUCCAGAGAUGGAUUGGUGCCUUCGGGAACUCUCAGACAGGUGCUGCAUGGCUGUCGUCAGCUCGUGUUGUGAAAUGUUGGGUUAAGUCCCGUAACGAGCGCAACCCUUGUCCCUAUUUGCCAGCGAUUCGGUCGGGAACUCUAGGGAGACUGCCGGUGACAAACCGGAGGAAGGUGGGGACGACGUCAAGUCAUCAUGGCCCUUA
Molecule: ribosomal RNA, 837 nt
Filed under: uncultured Halomonas sp.
Lineage: Bacteria; Pseudomonadati; Pseudomonadota; Gammaproteobacteria; Oceanospirillales; Halomonadaceae
Description: bacterial SSU rRNA
Rfam family: Bacterial small subunit ribosomal RNA
Source: RNAcentral